GAAAAGAAGGAAAGAAAAAAAAACAGGAGAAAUGGUAGCUCUAUGUCAGUCAUAGUCACAGCUGUUACUAGGGGAAAGAGGCAAAUUUAGAGAACUAAACUCUUACCCUCAUGAAUUUUGAUUAGAAUUGCCUUUGGGCCAAAUUUUCUCAUUAGAUGCUAAUAAAUGUUUUCCAUCAUGUGCAAGGAAGGUUUUACAAAAAUUCCAUUUCCCAGAACUCUGUGAAUGAAAUGGAAACCCCCUUUUCUGGUUGUGGAAAAAAAACAAAGACAAAAAGUUCCUAGCUCAGAGUUUCUUGAGUCCCCUCUGGUUUGGCUAGGUGGCGCCCUAGCCUAAUGCAUGGGCUUCCUUGGCGCCGGGCGGCCGCUUUCUGUGGGGGGUAAGAGUGAAGAGAAGGAAGAAGACUUCAGCUUCUGCGGUUCUCCCCAGGAGUUAGUCAGGAUCCUCAGAUCGACUGACAGGAGGUGAAACUAAUUCUGAUUUACACUAUCAUCUUCCUGCUUCUACACCUUUUGCCAAGAUAAAACCCAUGACUCCCUAGAAAGAAUCAGAGAAUGAAGAUGUAAAGACAGGAACUGUUGGAGCCAUUUUGCUACUAGGAUGAAAAGAGCUUACAAAUGAAGCCGACAUGAAGAGAAGGGUGCAGAUGAGUGGAUUCCACUUAGAAUGUAUCUUGUCUGGCUUUCUAAGAGAAUAUGAAGCAGAUGGAUGCUGAGUUGGAACACUUCAUUCUCCAGAGUGCUUGCUCAGCUAUGACCUGGUGUCACGAUGGACUACACCUGUGUAUCCUGACUGUAGUGGGCCCUGCUGUUCAUCCUGGAGUGGUCACAGCCCUACAAGAGAAACAGCUUGUGGAUUGGGAUAUGGCAGGGGGGUAACUAAUCAGACUCCCUGGAAUGUUAACAUCUUGGUAAAGCUGCCAUUUAAG
Molecule: long non-coding RNA, 928 nt
Filed under: Equus asinus (donkey)
Lineage: Eukaryota; Metazoa; Chordata; Mammalia; Perissodactyla; Equidae
Description: lncRNA (ENSEASG00005028829.1)
Source: RNAcentral